Molecule: long non-coding RNA, 243 nt
Organism: Melopsittacus undulatus (budgerigar)
Lineage: Eukaryota; Metazoa; Chordata; Aves; Psittaciformes; Psittaculidae
Exons: 3
Source: RefSeq, a predicted model, not a curated record
GCCUCCGUGUGCCCCGGGAGAGAAGCUGAAUGCUGAGGCCCAAGGAAGGGGCAUAAAAAUGAAGGUUGACGUUGUGGAUCCACCAGGAAAGGUGGUGAAGCUGGGAAACGUCUGCAUUGGACAGACGGUGAAGAAGAUGGUCACCGUAGCCAACAAGAGUGCAGCCCCUCUCACCUUUAAGCUGAGGGUCACGUCCACCGUGCCAGAGUUGCAGGAAGCUGGGGUUCUGUGCUUGAAGCCCAG